RNAcentral lists this ribosomal RNA (497 nucleotides) under uncultured bacterium. RNAcentral describes it as "partial 16S ribosomal RNA". It matches the Rfam family "Bacterial small subunit ribosomal RNA", at positions 28 to 507 of the family's 1533-position model. The record is from RNAcentral.
GAUGAACGCUGGCGGCGUGCCUAAUACAUGCAAGUCGAGCGAACAGACGAGGAGCUUGCUCCUCUGACGUUAGCGGCGGAAGUGUGAGUAACACGUGGAUAACCUACCUAUAAGAAUGGGAUCACUUCGGGAAACCGGAGCUCAUACCGGAUAAUAUAUUGAACCGCAUGGUUCAAUAGUGAACGACGGUUUUGCUGUCACUUAUAGAUGGAUCCGCGCCGCAUUAGCUAGUUGGUAAGGUAACGGCUUACCAAGGCAACGAUGCGUAGCCGACCUGAGAGGGUGAUCGGCCACACUGGAACUGAGACACGGUCCAGACUCCUACGGGAGGCAGCAGUAGGGAAUCUUCCACAAUGGGCGAAAGCUUGACGGAGCAACGCCGCGUGAAUGAUGAAGGUCUUCGGAUCGUAAAACUCUGUUAUUAGGGAAGAACAAAUGUGUAAGUAACUAUGCACGUCUUGACGGUACCUAAUCAGAAAGCCACGGCUAACUACGUG